Molecule: long non-coding RNA, 1672 nt
Organism: Camelus dromedarius (Arabian camel)
Lineage: Eukaryota; Metazoa; Chordata; Mammalia; Artiodactyla; Camelidae
Source: Ensembl
GGCACAGUUAAUGCGAGGGGGCUGUAAUUUGGAGGAAUAAGGGAGGUCUUGAGCUACUGCGAAGGCUCAGCUCGGAAACUCUGAGCCUCUGUCAUUAUUAAUGGGGGGGCACUGGAGAGAGGAUUGCUCAGCUAAGAGCAAGAGGCAGUGGAGGGAUACAAAUCGAGAUGAGCAGCAGCUGACUCGGCAAAACUGCUCAAUGACUUUGCAAAAGACCCGUCACAACGGAUAAACGGCCCCCCCUGAAGAGGCAGCUUAGCAUUCCUGCAGUGCACACAAUUAUUUCCAGGGACGAGAUUGAGAGGGAGGAGAAAGAAAGAGGAAAGAAGAUCAAAAGACGCCUUUAAUGACUCUGCAGACAUUUCUUAAACGAGCGAUUGGGAAGAAGAGAGCCGUAAAAGAAAAACCAAAACAAGGAAUGCAGGCACUUCAUUUUAAGCUCUGGCCACUGGGCGAGCAUCCACCACGCUGCCCUUUUCCUGCUCAUGAAAAAUGUACAUCACCCCCAGGGGUCCAGGCUGCCUGAGGGACCUAAGAGCCUUAAAGUACCAACAGCCCACAUUUCUUGAAGGCAGACUUUCAGUUUACAGGCAACUAAUCCUCACUGCAUCGGCUCCAACAGACGGGCACAAUCAAUUCAGGGAGAGCAAGCAACGCCAGGUCUGCUCAAUCUUCUCUCAACGAGCAGCAGAGGAGAGGCGGUGGGNGGGGGGGGGAGGAGACGGAAAGAAAGACAGAGAAUGCAGACAUCCCUGCUCCCAAGAUAGCUUAGCAGAGGCAAAGACGAAAAGACAAGUUGAAAUACAUAUCCUGGCAGAUGGAAGCGUUUGCUGUCGGAGGGAGAGGCUGAAACACCACGAAGACACAAAGCGCACCCAGCCUCCGGGCGCUGAGGAGUGUCUAAGGGAGCCAGGCAGACGGAAAAGGGUGUAUGUCGAAACAAAGGAACUGGGCACAGCACCUCUAGGGAGGAAAGAGGUCUGGAUUUGCUGAGGUCUCCACCGUCUAUGAUCUAUAGCAUAGCGUGAAGAGCGAGUUAAUUACUGCGCUUAGGUAAUUACGUCUCAGAGAAACCAGUGCCUUCCAGAGCAGCAUUAAUUUACACUGCUAGAUCUUUCUAGGCUUGACUGGCCAUAUGGGGAGAAGUCACACUGGAACAGUGGCUUAACAGCGGCAGGAAGAAAAUAAAUGAAAAUGAGCUAGAAAUAAGAGGCCCUGGAAUUGACAGUGUUCUCGGUUUUCUAUUUUUGGACGCAAAGGGCAGGACGAGAUGCUUCCUUCAUUUACCAGCAGCGCUUCAUCCCCCAACAGCUCAGGCCCCCCUCCAUCCCCUUGCUCCAAGCGUGGGCAAUAACUUAAUGUGCUUUGACUCCUCUGACUUUCCUUGGCACUCGCUUCUCUCCCAUGGCCACUACAUCUUCCCUUCUGAGCCCCUGAAUAAUGUAUUUGUCUACAGUGGAGGGCAUCAAAAGGGCUUGUGUGGAUAACAGUUGUCCCUCUCCUGAUUCAUUAAAGACCCUCCCUGUUCUCCGAGAUCCAUCUUCUCCCUGCCACGGUUGUGAGACAGGUUCUCUGGGCCAAGGAACUCAUCAUCCAUCGUUAGGCUGUUCCUCUCCUCUUCUGAGAAGGAAUGCUACUAUUUAAGAAUGGGAAGAUGAAAGCAUUUCUUGUC